Long non-coding RNA from Neomonachus schauinslandi (Hawaiian monk seal), 759 nucleotides. RefSeq lists it as uncharacterized. NCBI's taxonomy places the organism in Eukaryota, Metazoa, Chordata, Mammalia, Carnivora, Phocidae. The transcript is spliced from 2 exons. The record is from RefSeq and is a predicted model, not a curated record.
CAGAGCUGAACCUGUAUAAAAGUCAGAAGCUUCUAACAGCACCUCAGUCUACCUGCAUCCUGGGUGAUCUGCUCCAGUGCCUGAACCAGCUUCAUUCAGUUCCUGUUGAGAUGUCCUGCCAGCAAAGCCAGCAGCAGUGCCAGCCCCCUCCCAAGUGCUCCCCCAAGGGUACUUCUAAGUGUCCUCCCAAGUGUCCCCCAAAAUGCCCCCCUAAGUGCCCAGCCCCCUGCCCACCUCCAGUCUCUCCCUGCUGCAGCAUCGGCUCUGGGGGCGGCGGCUGCUGCAGCUCUGGGGGCGGCGGCUGCUGCCUGAGCCACCACAGGCCCCGCCGAUCUCUUCGACGCCGACACCAGAACUCUGACUGCUGUGGCAGUGGUGGUGGCCAUUCUGGAGGCUCCAGCUGCUGCCACAGCUCUGGGAGCUCCGGCUGCUCUUCUGGGAGCUCUGGAUGUUGCGGCAGCUCUGGGGGCUGCUGCUGAUCUGGGCCGUGGGGAGCACUGAGGAGCAGCCCUGGAGGAGCCACUGGGCCGAGACUCCUCUUCUCCCAUUUGGAAGAACAGAAGAGGACGGAAAGGCUUCCGAAUGCUUUGAGUUUCCCUCUUCCUCCCACCCGUGUCCAUUCCACUGUGAGGUCUAGAGGGUUAGCCUGUGGCAUUCACUAGUCUGAUUCCCUCUCGCACACACAUCUUUGGAGGACUUGGUGUUGGAGUUCAGUUAUGAAGCUGCUUUCUCUGUAACAAUAAAGCUUCUUAUUCCUGA